UGUGAAUAUUUUGGGAUUGUUUACUUCCGUAUAUUGUUUAAAUAUGAGAUCACAUUUUUCUGGGAAAGAGAUGGGAAAGAGAUCUUUCUUGUUGCGUGUUUUGUGUUUUGGGGGAGGAGCCAUCUUAUGUUAAGGCAAGCUGGCCUCCUGUGCCUCUCAUUCUACUGGUCUGUACUGUCUAAUAAAGAUGGUUGCUUCCCAGUCUAUAGGUACAUACUGUUGAUUGCUUUUGUGGGCUACUACUUGAUGGGGGCGAAGGUAUUGCAAGCUUUGGAGACAGACAUUCAGGAGGAAUUGAAAAAUUCCUUUUUGGAGGCCAGAGAAGCUUUAAUGAGUAACUAUGCCAACAUCACUCCAGAAGAGCUUGAAAUCUUUUUGCAGGAAUAAGGAAAUCUGCUGGUAUUCCAUCUGCCUGCCAAAUAAAACUCCAAACCCUCUUUUUUAAGGAAGAUAACAUCAUCCAGAGUCUCUACAUAUUUUCAUAUACAAUGGCCAGCAUCCAAUGAAAAAUUAGGAGUAAAAGAACUGGGAGAAUCUCGGACUUUUAGGGGUCCACAAAAGAUCAGACUGUUGGGAAUGGAUGUCACCAUGACCCAUGGUUUCUGCCCUGAGGAUAAUAACAACAAGGUCUGAAUGACCACUUCCUUUGGUGUAUGGCCUGGUGGUGCACACAGAAGUCCAACUGAUUGGUGGAUAUAGAGAGCAAGAUGGAAUCACUCAUGUCAAGCAGGGACAUAGGCAGUCAAGGGCAUUGGUGCUAAGAUGAGAUGUUGCUGAAACCAGCACAGGCUGAUGACACAGCAGAACCAGAAGAGGCCCAUAAAGGCCUAAGACUGGUUAAGCAUCUUCAAAAAGAGAGGACUUUUGCAGCAAUGGUCAGACCUCCAGAAGCUGACCCUUCCAUAUCUGACUGCAUCAGAAAGGCAGUUGCUGAUGAAAGGUCUGCCUGACUGAUCUCUGAACAUAACAGAGAUCUUCCACUGCUUGAAUAUAAUAAGCAGUGUGGUUGGAGAGCUGACCCAGGCUGAAACGAGCCCUCAUCUCACUUGUGCACCCAUCCACAGACUCCACAUUUGCUUCACUAAGUUCUUACCCCUUGUUGUAUCUUCCUUGUUGUGACUUUGUUUUCUGCUCUGCUUUGUGUGAUAUAUAAGAAGCUAAGUUAAAUGUGUAGUGAAAUGUCAUUGGGCUUGGAAUACUGAACCUGCUUUACAAUUAUGUUAGCCUUGCGGGGCGCCUGGGUGGCUCAGUCGGUUGAACGUCCGACUUCGGCUCAGGUUAUGGUCUCACGGUUUGUGAGUUUGAGCCCCGUGUCGGGCUCUGUGCUGUUGGCUCGGAGCCUGGAGCCUGCUUCAAUUCUGUGUCUCCCUCUCUCUCUGCCCCUUCCCCACUCAUGAUCUGUCUCUCUCUGUCUCUCAAAAAUGAAUAAACGUUAAAAAAAAAUUAAAAAAAAACAAUUAUGUUAGCCUUGCUUUAUGAUUAAAUAAAGCUGACACUGUGGAAAGACACAACUCAUGUAUGCACCUUUAUAGCCUGCUUGCAACAGUGGGCAUGAAUUUUGUCAUCUGAUCCCUCAGCCAUUCCAGUCUGGGCCACAGUAGAUGAAUAAUUCUAACUUCAGGCAGUUCAACCGUAUUCACUGGUUCUGUUUAACAGGGAGUUAAGGGAGGUGAAACCAUUUGACCAUUCUCUAUCAUAUGAUGUUCUCAUAUUUUCUUCUUGAUGAGACAGAAUCAAAGUACCAGCUUGCCUGAAGAAUGGACGUAGUCCUUAUUUUGUAGUCCUGGAACCAGUCAAUAAGCCUACUUUGCCUUUAUUCUUAAGACACAUUCUUUUAAACAAAUGUGAGUUAAGGCGAACUAUGAAUUUGUAGGAGUUCAGGCAUGACUUUAAAUGGGCAUGAACUCCUCAUGUUGUAAUGACUUUAACAUUGCCAGGCUGUUUAAAAUAUCACCACAGGCAAUGAAGGGAGCUUUUGUGUGAAGUCCAUGAAAAAUUGUGAAACUUUGGUAUGGCAUUCUUCUCCAACCUGUGUGUGUGUGUGUGUGUGUGUGUGUGUGUGUGUGUGUGUUGAUAGUGUAUUCCUAUUCUUUUGUAGCAUUGAAAAUAAAAAUUGAGGGUGCCUGGGUGGCUCAGUCGGUUGUGUCUGACUUCGGCUCAUGUCAUGAUCUCAUGGUUCUUGGUUCAAGCCUCGUGUUGGGCUCUGUGCUGACAGCUAAUAGCCUGGAGCCUGCUUCAGAUUCUGGUUCUCCCUUUCUCUCUGCCCCUCCCUGCUCAUGCUCUGUCUCUGUCAAAAAUGAA
Molecule: long non-coding RNA, 2301 nt
Organism: Acinonyx jubatus (cheetah)
Lineage: Eukaryota; Metazoa; Chordata; Mammalia; Carnivora; Felidae
Exons: 3
Source: RefSeq, a predicted model, not a curated record